RNAcentral lists this transfer RNA (87 nucleotides) under Alcanivorax sp. Its description in RNAcentral is "tRNA-Leu". It matches the Rfam family "tRNA". Rfam says of the family: Transfer RNA (tRNA) molecules are approximately 80 nucleotides in length. Their secondary structure includes four short double-helical elements and three loops (D, anti-codon, and T loops). RNAcentral also lists the same sequence under 1 other name. Lineage: Bacteria; Pseudomonadati; Pseudomonadota; Gammaproteobacteria; Oceanospirillales; Alcanivoracaceae. The record is from RNAcentral.
GCCCGGGUGGCGAAAUUGGUAGACGCAACGGACUUAAAAUCCGUUGACCUUAUGGUCGUGCGGGUUCAAGUCCCGCCCCGGGCACCA